AUGAUGUGCCAGACGCGUGCCUCUCCGGCCCUGCCGGGCAACCUUAAUAGAUAAGCGAGCGCCCGCCCUGAUCAAGCCGGCCAUAGCGUCAGGGUGCGACCCAAUCCCAUUCCGAACUUGGAAGUCAAACCUGAUGUCGCUGUUGUGUUACUAAGAUGCGAGAGCUCUUGGGAAGCAACAGUGCUGGCAUCAUC
Molecule: ribosomal RNA, 194 nt
Filed under: Cenarchaeum symbiosum A
Lineage: Archaea; Thermoproteati; Nitrososphaerota; Candidatus Cenarchaeales; Candidatus Cenarchaeaceae
Source: RNAcentral